ACGUAGUUAGCCGUCCCUUUCUGGGUAGUUACCGUCACUUGAUGAGCUUUCCACUCUCACCAACGUUCUUCUCUACCAACAGAGUUUUACGAUCCGAAAACCUUCUUCACUCACGCGGCGUUGCUCGGUCAGACUUUCGUCCAUUGCCGAAGAUUCCCUACUGCUGCCUCCCGUAGGAGUUUGGGCCGUGUCUCAGUCCCAAUGUGGCCGAUCACCCUCUCAGGUCGGCUAUGUAUCAUCGCCUUGGUGAGCCUUUACCUCACCAACUAGCUAAUACAACGCGGGAUCAUCUUUGAGUGAUGCAAUUGCAUCUUUCAAACUUAAAACUUGUAGUUUAAAGUUUUUAUGCGGUAUUAGCAUUCGUUUCCAAAUGUUGUCCCCCGCUCAAAGGCAGAUUCCCCACGCGUUACUCACCCGUUCGCUGCUCAUCCAGUCGGUACAAGUACCAACUUCAGCGCUCAACUUGCAUGUAUUAGGCACGCCGCCAGCGUUCGUCCUCGUAGCCGUAGACGUAACCG
Molecule: ribosomal RNA, 518 nt
Filed under: uncultured Lactococcus sp.
Lineage: Bacteria; Bacillati; Bacillota; Bacilli; Lactobacillales; Streptococcaceae
Description: partial 16S ribosomal RNA
Source: RNAcentral